UUAACGUUACACGAACGUUGUGAGAACGUUAAAAUGAAACGUUACAAUUCAACGUUCUAGGAACGUUUUGUUUUAACGUUGUGUGGAAGUUUCAGUUUGGUUAUGUUACAAAUAAUACGUUGUAGAAACGUUUAAUAUUAGUUACUUUUUAACGUUACUUUACUAACAUUCUUAAAACGUUCGAAUAAUGUUCCUCAUUUUUUUUUUUUAAAUAAUCUUUCCAAAAAAAAUUAAAAAAAAUAGCAAAUUAAUAGCAAAAAAUGCAAGUAAGAUGUUUGCCGUCUUGCUUGUUAAUCAAACCUUUAUUUUGUUUCAGAAUGUGAAUGCUGAUAGUUUUUAAAACUAAAAAACCGACACUGUAUUAAGAACAAAAUAACUUUUUAUUCCUUAAACAUAUAGAUUGCUCGAUUAAAAGUUAAAAUUCAUUAUUCUCAUUAUUUAUUAUAACUUUUUUCAUUCAACUUUAAUUUGUUAAACAUAAUUAGCAAUUAUAUACAUAAUGAUAUUUGAUACAGCCAUUAUGUUAAUCAAGCAUAUUCUGAUAAGGUUGACCUAUAGAAUGAUGUUGACCAGAUGUUAGACAAAUUUCAAAGAUAGUUGCUAUGGUAAUUAAGGUUAUAGGAAAUCUAAGUGUAAUGGGAUAGUCACUUUUGAGACUAUUUCCUGUCGUGUAUUUGUAAGAAAGCAGUGAUAACAAAGAAAACAAAAGAGAAAAUCGCAUCAUCUAAAGAGAAAGAAACAUGGGCAGUGAAAUAAUUUUUAUGAAGAUUUGCUACACUGGAUAAGAAUUAAACAAAAGACGGAUUCAGAAAAGUGCCAAAUGAAAGUGUAGCAGAAAACAAAAGGAACACUCUUGUGAAUAGAUUGCAAAACAAGGACAUAACUGUAUAAACCUAAUGAAGUGAAAUUACAGAACCAGGAAGUAAGUGUAUGAAAAUGAUGAAGUGAAUUACAAAACUAGGAAAUAAUUGUAUGAACCGAAUGAAGUGAAAUUACAGAACUAGGAAAUAACUGUAUGAACCUAAUGAAGUGAAAUUACAGAACUAGGAAAUAAUUGUAUGAACCUGAUGAAGUGAAUUACCGAACUAGGAAGUAAUUGUAUGAACCUGAUGUCAGAAGUGAAUUACAGAACUAGGAAAUAACUGUAUGAACCUGAUGAAGUGAAUUACAUUUAUAGGAAUGAAACAUCAUGAAUAUACUUUAUAAUUUUCAUUCUAGAUCUGAUGUUGCAACGUGUAGUUACAUAAAAUUAAACUUUUAAGAAUUUGCUCCUUGUCUAGCUAAAAUAAAUUAUGUAUUGGUAUUCAUA
Molecule: long non-coding RNA, 1309 nt
Organism: Mytilus trossulus (common blue mussel)
Lineage: Eukaryota; Metazoa; Mollusca; Bivalvia; Mytilida; Mytilidae
Exons: 2
Source: RefSeq, a predicted model, not a curated record